GGAAAGGUGGCCGAGUGGUUUAAGGCGGCGGUCUUGAAAACCGCUGUGGGGCUUCGCCUCACCGUGAGUUCGAAUCUCACCCUUUCCG
This 88-nucleotide transfer RNA is filed under the name Chloroflexota bacterium. RNAcentral's name for it is "Chloroflexi bacterium tRNA-Ser". It matches the Rfam family "tRNA". Rfam says of the family: Transfer RNA (tRNA) molecules are approximately 80 nucleotides in length. Their secondary structure includes four short double-helical elements and three loops (D, anti-codon, and T loops). RNAcentral also lists the same sequence under 2 other names. Lineage: Bacteria; Bacillati; Chloroflexota. The record is from RNAcentral.